This is a long non-coding RNA of Argiope bruennichi, 414 nucleotides long. RefSeq lists it as uncharacterized. The transcript is spliced from 3 exons. The record is from RefSeq and is a predicted model, not a curated record. NCBI's taxonomy places the organism in Eukaryota, Metazoa, Arthropoda, Arachnida, Araneae, Araneidae.
UCGUUUCAUAUUCAAAUUUUUGUGAUAUUCGAGUUCUGAUUUUUGUUAACCCGGCACAAGCUAAGAAUCCGUUCAGGAGCAUACGCCGGAAAACAAACCUCAUUGCAUAUUCAAAUUAUUCGUUUCUUUUUCUUUGAAAUUGAAUACAAAAACAGUUAUCUGGGCUAAAAUAGAUAUUUUUAAUAAAUAUACAAGUUUAUUUUAAUAAACUUGUAUAUUUAUUAAGACAUCAGAAAUAAUAUGUGAUCCUUUACCCAGCUGUGUCAUAGCGAGAGUAACAGAUACCUGAGAGAUAAUAUAAUUUUUUUGCUUACAAGUCAUCAUUAGUGAUUCAUUUCUGAAAUCCUACUAGUCUUACUUUUUUGAAGAAGAUUCUUGUUAUAUUCUAAGGUUUGUUUAUUUUUGUCCUCCCCC